AUUGCUAUCGAUUUUUAUGAACAAAAUUUUCACCCGCGUUUACUCCCCGCGCCCCUGGUUUUGCCCCAAUUCACCUCAAUUUACCUGAGAAUUUAACCCCAAUUCGCGCCUUCUCCAUUUCACCAACCCUCCCUCUCCGAUGCCGUCGCGCUUCUUCGCUCUGCUGCCACUGUGUCGUUGCUCUGCUGCUCCCGCACCCAUCGUCGCCCCGUCACACUCGCGUCGCCGUCCCUCUUUAUUGUAUAAUAACAUUGCCAAGUUUGCGUAUGUUGCAAUGGGAUGAUCCAAGUUCACAGUAGAGAAAGACUCAAGCCAAAGCGAUUCUCCAACUUCACAAAAUGCUAGUAAUGUAAAAAGACUAGUUGGCAUGGGAGAGUAAGGUUCAAAUCCUUAGUUUCUUUGUUCUUUUCUAUUUUGUGUUAAUUAUUAUUGGAUUAAUCCAUGGUAAAAAGAUUCAGCUACGUUGUUUAAUUCACUCAGGGUCAUGAUUGGAAUAGGAGAGCAUGUGUACUCAAUAUUCCUUCUAAGUGUUUUCUUUCUUGAAUAUUUAGAGAUU
Molecule: non-coding RNA, 556 nt
Organism: Arachis ipaensis
Lineage: Eukaryota; Viridiplantae; Streptophyta; Magnoliopsida; Fabales; Fabaceae
Source: RefSeq, a predicted model, not a curated record